AGCUUUGCGCAGUGGCAGUAUCGUAGCCAAUGAGGUUUAUCCGAGGCGCGAUUAUUGCUAAUUGAUUAUUGCUAAUUGAAUCUUGUCUAAUCUUUACAAAAUAGAAGCCUGUGACUGUGUGACUGUGUUUGGAGAUA
Dipodomys ordii (Ord's kangaroo rat) is the source of this 137-nucleotide non-coding RNA. The record is from Rfam. Lineage: Eukaryota; Metazoa; Chordata; Mammalia; Rodentia; Heteromyidae.